This is a non-coding RNA of Callithrix jacchus (white-tufted-ear marmoset), 5836 nucleotides long. The record is from RefSeq and is a predicted model, not a curated record. NCBI's taxonomy places the organism in Eukaryota, Metazoa, Chordata, Mammalia, Primates, Cebidae.
UUCCUUCCUACCAUCCUCCCUGAAGAGCAACCUCAAGUUAGUGAGCACACAUCAGGCUUCUUUUUUGGUCUUGGAACUCUGUGGCCUGGUAGAGGUGAUAUCCCUGUCACAUUAAGAAAGAUGCUCCUUUCUCUGAAGACUAUUGACAGGCAAGCAGCAUUGCCUCCAAAUUAUAACUCAAAAACAUCUCUGCAUAAAAGAUUCAAGAGGACAGGGUUUGGAGAGCUUCUGGAUAGCUGAACAUGUGAAGGCUGACAGAAAGGUGAACAAGAACUCAUCCAUAUAUUAGGAGGGUGCUGUAUCCCAAAUCCAUAGGACAGAACCUCCUGUGCUCAGGACCCUUCCAAACCUGCUCCUGUGUAUCUCUUCUUCUGCCUGUUUAUUUGUAAACUUUAAAAUACCCUUCAUAAUAAACUAAUAAAUGUGUUUCCCUGGUUUCUGUAAGCUACACUUGUCCCAGCCCCGGAUUUGGGACAGGUGUCUGAAGGAAGGGGGCAGUUUUGGGGACUGAUCCCUCAACCUGUAGGAUCUGACACUAUCUCCAGGUAGAUAAUGUUGGAAUUGAAUUGGAGGACACCCAGCUGGUGUCUGCUGCAGAACUGACUGCUGUAGAACUGAUUGGGUUUCCCCACACACACUUGGUCACAAAAGUCUUCUGUGAUAAUUGUGUUGUGAGAACAGAGGAAAAACACAGUGUGAGUUCGUUUUUGCAGACAGUAUCCAAGUCAGACUGCCAGUUAAUUGUUUUAGGUGCUAUGAUAUAUGUAUGGUACACUGGAAUGCAAGGAAAGGGUACUUAUUACAAACUUAAAACAUAGAUUCAUAAAGCUUUUAUAGAGUUAGUGCUGCAAGAGCUGCCAUAUCAGCUACUUAUUCAUUUUUAAUUGCGGAAAAAUACACAUAACAUAAAAUGUAUCAUCUUAACCUUUUUAAAUGUACAUACACUUUGGUAGUAGUCAGUAGUGUUAAGUACAUUCACACUGUUGUGCAAUCCAUUUCCAGAACUCUUCAUCUUGCAAAACUGAAACUGUAUCCAUUAAACAAUUCCCCAUUCCCUCCUCCUCCUAGUCUGGUAGCCACCCUUCUACUUUCUGUCUCACUAUACAUUUAACUACUCUAAUUACCUCUUAUAAGUAGAACCAUAUAGUACUUGUCUUUUUGCCAGUAUUUUAUUUCACUUAGCAUAAUGUCCUUAAGGUUCAUCCAGUCGUAGCAUGUAUCAGAAUUUCCUUUCUUUUUAAGGCUGUAUAAUAUUUUAUUGUAUGUGUUUGCCACAUUUUCUGUUUUUUGAGAUAGGGUCUCAUUGUCACUUAGUCUGGAGUGCAGUGGCACGAUCAUGGCUGAUGGUAGCCUCAACCUCCUGGGCUCAAGUGGGCCUCCCACAUCAGCCUUUCAAGGUGCUGGAUUACAGGUGUGAGCCACCAUACCCCUGCCUCAUUUUUUUAUUCAUUUUUCUGUCAGUGUACACUUGGGUUGCUUAUACCUCUUGGCUGUUGUGAAUAAUGCUGCUGUGAACAUGGGUGUACAAAUAUCUCUUCAAGCCCCCAAAGGUGGGACUGCUGGACCAUGUGGUAACAGAGUAGCUGUUUUAACCUUUUCAUUAUAAAGAAGGCUUUUAAAUAUUUUCUUUCAUGAGUGCCAUGAAUUUGUUAUCAUUCUUACAUAAAUUACAAUUUAUUAUUACUCCUACAUAAAUUAUAAUUGUUAAUGUACUUUAUCCCUGUUUUAAUGAAUCAAAGGCACAUGUAACUCACCAAGACAAUUUUAGAUACAGUUACCAUGCUGUAAUUAUUCAUAUGAGAUACAGCCACUAAUUACUUUAAUGCAAUGAUAUAUAACAAAACAGUAUAAUAUUUUCAUUACAAUCUUCUUUUGGAGAAAUGUGAUUUUUGAAACAUUAAAAAUAGCCAACAGAAAUAAUGAUAGUUAACAUUUAUGGGGUUUAAUGUACAAAGUUCUAUGAGUGUAUUAUCUGAUAAGAACUCUUGUUACAAUCCUUACAACAACUCUUAAAUUAGGUCCUGUAGUCCUAUUUUAAAGACCUGGAAAUUUAGGGCAGAGAGUCAUCCCAGCUACUUGAAAGGCUGAGGCAGGAGUAUCACUGGAACUUGGAAGGCAGAGGUUGCAGUGAGCCAAGAUUGCGCCACUGUACUCCAGCCUGGGAAACAGAGCAAGACUCAGUCUAAAGUUUUCCACUUUGCAAGUGGCAAAGCGAAGAUUUAAACUCAUUCAAUCUGACUUCCAGAGUGCAUUCUCAUUCUCUCUCUUCUUGUUUUACUUUUGCAGUUAGCUUUUUGAGGUAUAAUUUACUUAAAAUAAAAUGCAUCUGCUUUAAGUAUAUAGUGUAAAGCAAAAAGUAUCUGAGACAGGUUUUAGUCAACUUACAAGUUUAUUUUCCAAGGUUAAGGAUCAUGACCUGUGACACAGCCUCAGGAAGUCUUUAGAACAUGUGCCUAAGGUGGUUGGGUUACAACUUGGUUUUAUGUUUUAGGGAAUCAUAAGAUGUCAAUCAGUACAUGUAAGGUAAACAUUGGUUCAGUUUAGAAAGGUGGGACAACUUGAAGUGGUGAGUAGGGGGCACAGCUUACAACAGGUCAUUAGUGGAUUUAAAGAUUUUCUGAUUGGCAGUUGGUUGAAAGAGUUAAGUUAUUAUUUAAAGCCCUGGAAUCAAUAGAAAUCAGUAUCUGGGUUAAGAGGGUUAAGAGAAGGGGUUGUAGAGACUAAUGUUCUUAUUAUGUAGAUGAAGUCUCAUUGGAGGCUGCCCUUAGAGGCAAUAGAUGGCAAAUGUUUUCCUUUUAAAAGAUGCUAGACUGUCAGCUAAUCUCUUCAGGAUCAGAAAAAGACCUGGAAAGGGAUGAGAAUUCUCUGCAGAAUGUAAAUUUCCUCUACAAGAGUCAGCUUUGCAGGGCCAUUUCAAAUUAUGUCAAAGAAAUAUAUUUUGGGUAAUGUACUUUGAUUUCUUUCAGAGCCUCGCUGUUUAUCAUGUGAUAGUAUACUAGAGUCAGGUUGAAAUUUGGUAUGUUGUUGCUACAAAAAGUCUGUUCUGUCAGUCUUAGGAUCUCUAUUUUUUUAAUGUUAAUGCUGGCCAAUUGUAUGCCUGAAUUCCAAACAGUAUAAUGAGGCAUAUCUGACCCCUCUCUUUACCACCCCACCCUAUCCCCCUUCAUUCCUCAACUUUACCCCCGAAACCCUGGUAUGGGGUGAAAGUUUUUCUUUUUUCUUUUUCUUUUUGAGACUGAGUCUUGCUCUGUUGCCCAGGCUGGAAUGCAGUGGCACAAUCUCAGCUCACUGCAACCUCUGCCCCUGGGUUUAAGUGAUUCUUCUGCCUAGGUAGGAUUACAGGCACCUUUUGCCUAGCUCAUUUUUGUAUAUUUAGUAGAGACAGUGUUUCGCCAUGUUGGCCAGGCUGGUCUCCAACUCCUGACCUUAGCUGAUCUGCCUGCCUUGGCCUCCCAAAGUGCUGGAAUUACAGGUGUAAGCCACCACACCCAGCCUUGAAGUAGCCAUUUAAUUCCAAAACGAUGUACUUAACUACCAUACUACCUUGCCUUCCUCCCUUACCACUUUUUUAGAUGCCAGUGAGUCCACGGACCUUAUGGUGGGAACUAGUGAUCUAAUGUUCUCAUUUUACAAAUAAGGAAAAAGACCUUAAGAAGUGAUCUGCCUAAAAUUACAUUGAAAAUUAGCAGUGAAGACUAGAUCAGAAUCCACAUAUAGUAGUUUCUCAGUCUGGGAACUGAUGGAGCAGAGGAGGAUGAUGUCAUUAUUGUUGAUGUCAUAUUGAUAAUGGGUUACCAGAUCAAAGGACUUCCACCAAACAAAAAGUUUCUAAUGAACUGUUUUAUUAUGGUGAAAAUACCUAACAUCUAUGAAGUGUUUUAUAACAAUAGGCCUCAGACUUUAAUAUGUAUGUGAAUUACCUGGGAAUCUUAUAAAAAACAUUCUGGUUUAAUAGAUCUGGAAUGUGCCCUUAGAGCUUUCUCUCCCUCCCUCCCUCCCUCCCUCCCUCCCUUCCUUCCUUCUUGAGACAGGGUCUAACUCUGUUGCUCAGGCUGAAGUUCAGUGGCAUGGGUAUAGCUUACUGUAACCUCAAACUCCUGGGUUCAAGGGACCUCCUGCUCCUGCUUCAACCUCCCAAAUAGCUAAGCACUACAGAUGUAUGCCACCAUGCCUGGUGAAUUUUUUAUUUUAUUUUUUGUAGAGAUGCUGGGAAUAUCACUAUGUUGUCCAGGCUGGUCUCGAAUUCCUGGCCUCAAGCAAACCUCCCAAAGUGUUGGGAUUAUAGGCAUAAGCCACCAUGGCUGGCUGAGUUUGCAUUUCUCAAAAGCUAUCAGGUGAUUCCAGUGCUGCUGGUCUAGAGACUAUACUAGAAGCAAGGCUUUAACAUACUCAAAGCACUUUUAUAUCUUUUAUGAGAUGUAGGUGUUAUCCCUGUUUUUAUGUAAGGAAAGUAAGUUCAAAAGGAUAAGCAGUUUGUUAAAGAUCACAGAGCUGGGCCAGGCGCGGUGGCUCAAGCCUGUAAUCCCAGCACUUUGGGAGGCCGAGGCGGGUGGAUCACGAGGUCAAGAGAUCGAGACCAUCCUGGUCCACAUGGUGAAACCCCGUCGCUACUAAAAAUACAAAAAUUAGCUGGGCAUGGUGGCGCGUGCCUGUAAUCCCAGCUACUCGGGAGGCUGAGGCAGGAGAAUUGCCUGAACCCAGGAGGCGGAGGUUGCGGUGAGCGAGAUCGCGCCAUUGUGCUCCAGCCUUGGUAACGAGAGAAACGGCAUCUCAAAAAAUAAAAUAAAAUAAAAUAAAAAUCACAGGGCUGGUACUGGAACCCGGGUUUCUAACUUUGCAAACCAAGUUAGGUGUUGGUUACCCUGCAUGAUAACAGUAGGCUGAAAACCUGUAUGUGAAGGAAAGCUUGAAAAGGAUCAUUCUGGGUAAUAAGCUAAAUUGAACUUUUUUAUUUCAGAAACAGUUUUCAUCCCUAUUUUUUCUUAGUGCCUUUCCCAAGCUUAAAUGAAAUCACCUUUAGACUGAAGUCUAUAGUUAGCAGUUAGAACUUAGUACGUACUUGAAGGCUGAGUGCAUUUGCAAGUCUAAUCUUAGUAUUUGCCUAGGUUUUCAAAGGUAUUAACCAGGAAGAAUUGUCAUUUGGUGUCACAUUUUGGAAGAAAUGAUUGAUUUUUUUUUUUUAAGUGAAACAGUAAUUGGGGUGUGUGUGUGUGUGUGUGUGUGUGUGUGUGUGUCAAUAAGAAUGGUAUGAUUCCUCAAAUAGUAAUUUGGGAAACUUCACUGAGAUAGAAUACAUAGUAUAGUAAACAUUUAAAUGAAAGUCUUGUCUAGUGCAUUCUUAUUUCAGGUCAAAAUCUUAAGUUGUUUUUUUCAGGUUUCAGAAUCUUACCUUUGUUCCUUUGCCAGCCAUUUCCAACAGUGGAAAAAAAAAACUCACCUGGAGAGUUUUAGGUAGUGCAGAACAUUCGAAAGAAAUAAAAGCAUGAGGAAACAUUUUAGGACCCAGCAAAUGAUAGAUCCCAAAAUGGACAGUAAAAGCAUUUUAUGGUAGCAGGAAAGUCCUAGAUUAUUUUACUUUGAGGAAAGUACAUGUUAUAAUGGAAUAGCUGCCCGUUGGACUUGGAGUCAGAAUCAAGAUUCCUAUCUGGACUUCACUCCAUUGAGCCUAUGACUUAACCUUAUCAAAUGUCAUUUUUCUCAUUUUAUAAAAACUAAUAAAAAGAAAAUUUAUGAGAUUUAAAUGGUAUAAUCCAUGUAAAAACACACCAUGAAGUACCUGGCAGAUAUUAGGUGCUCAAUAAAGAUUAGUUGAAUAGGAAUCUAAUCAAAAUAAGUU